This 486-nucleotide ribosomal RNA is filed under the name uncultured bacterium. Its description in RNAcentral is "partial 16S ribosomal RNA". It matches the Rfam family "Bacterial small subunit ribosomal RNA", at positions 29 to 507 of the family's 1533-position model. The record is from RNAcentral.
AACGAGCGCUGGCGGCGCGUCUUAACCAUGCAAGUCGAGCGGCAGGCAGCAAUGCCGAGAGCGGCGGACUGGUGAGUAACACGUGGAUAACGUACCCCGAUGUCCGGGACAGCCUGUAGAAAUAGAGGGUAAUACCGGAUAGAUCACUGUUUACGUGAGGUAGACAGCGGGAAAGGAGCUUCGGCUCCGCGACGGGAUCGGUCUGCGGCCCAUCAGCUGGACGGCGGGGUAAAGGCCCGCCGUGGCGAGGACGGGUAUCCGGCCUGAGAGGGCGGACGGACACAUUGGGACUGAGAUACGGCCCAGACUCCUACGGGAGGCAGCAGGUAAGAAUAUUCCGCAAUGGGGGGAACCCUGACGGAGCGACGCCGCGUGAACGAAGAAGGCCGGAAGGUUGUAAAGUUCUUUUCUGUCCGAGGAAUAAGUUUCGGAGGAAAUGCCGGGACGGUGACGGUAGGGCAGGAAUAAGCACCGGCUAAUUACGUG